AUCAACGCUGGCGGCGUGCCUAACACAUGCAAGUCGAACGCGAGAGUCCCGCAAGGGACAAUUGAGUGGCAAACGGGUGAGUAACACGUGGGUGACCUGCCUUCGAGUGGGGAUAACGUCCCGAAGGGACGCUAAUACCGCAUGACAUCCUGCCUUUGGACAGGUGGAGAUCAAAGCCGGGGAUCGCAAGACCUGGCGCUUGAAGAGGGGCCCGCGUCUGAUUAGCAGUUGGUGAGGUAACGGCUCACCAAGGCGACGAUCAGUAUCCGGCCUGAGAGGGCGGACGGACACACUGGGACUGAGACACGGCCCAGACUCCUACGGGAGGCAGCAGUGGGGAAUUGUUCGCAAUGGGCGCAAGCCUGACGACGCAACGCCGCGUGGAGGACGAAGAUCUUCGGGUCGU
Molecule: ribosomal RNA, 406 nt
Filed under: uncultured bacterium
Lineage: Bacteria
Description: bacterial SSU rRNA
Rfam family: Bacterial small subunit ribosomal RNA
Source: RNAcentral